RNAcentral lists this ribosomal RNA (909 nucleotides) under uncultured bacterium. RNAcentral's name for it is "bacterial SSU rRNA". It matches the Rfam family "Bacterial small subunit ribosomal RNA", at positions 33 to 936 of the family's 1533-position model. The record is from RNAcentral.
ACGCUAGCUACAGGCUUAACACAUGCAAGUCGAGGGCAGCGGGUUGAAAGCUUGCUUUCAUUGCCGGCGACCGGCGCACGGGUGCGUAACGCGUAUCAAACCUGCCUCAUACUCGGGGAUAGCCUUGCGAAAGUAAGAUUAAUACCCGAUGUUGUUGCUUUCUCGCAUGGGAGAGUAACCAAAGAUUUAUCGGUAUGAGAUGGUGAUGCGUCCGAUUAGGUAGUAGGCGGGGUAACGGCCCACCUAGCCUUCGAUCGGUAGGGGUUCUGAGAGGAAGGUCCCCCACACUGGAACUGAGACACGGUCCAGACUCCUACGGGAGGCAGCAGUGAGGAAUAUUGGUCAAUGGGCGAGAGCCUGAACCAGCCAAGUAGCGUGCAGGAUGACGGCCCUCCGGGUUGUAAACUGCUUUUAGUUGGGAAUAAAAAAAGGGACUUGUCCCUUCUUGUAUGUACCUUCAGAAAAAGGACCGGCUAAUUCCGUGCCAGCAGCCGCGGUAAUACGGAAGGUCCAGGCGUUAUCCGGAUUUAUUGGGUUUAAAGGGAGCGUAGGCGGAUUGUUAAGUCAGCGGUUAAAGGGUGUGGCUCAACCAUGCAUUGCCGUUGAAACUGGCGAUCUUGAGUGCAGACAGGGAUGCCGGAAUUCGUGGUGUAGCGGUGAAAUGCUUAGAUAUCACGAAGAACUCCGAUCGCGAAGGCAGGUGUCCGGGCUGCAACUGACGCUGAGGCUCGAAAGUGUGGGUAUCAAACAGGAUUAGAUACCCUGGUAGUCCACACAGUAAACGAUGUAUACUCGCGGUUUGCGAUAGAUUGUAAGCCGCCAAGCGAAAGCAUUAAGUAUACCACCUGGGGAGUACGCCGGCAACGGUGAAACUCAAAGGAAUUGACGGGGGCCCGCACAAGCGGAGGA